RNAcentral lists this transfer RNA (72 nucleotides) under Candidatus Uhrbacteria bacterium. RNAcentral describes it as "tRNA-Val". It matches the Rfam family "tRNA". From Rfam's summary of the family: Transfer RNA (tRNA) molecules are approximately 80 nucleotides in length. Lineage: Bacteria; Candidatus Uhriibacteriota. The record is from RNAcentral.
GGGCGGUUAGCUCAGCGGGAGAGCGACUCGUUUACACCGAGUAGGUCGCAGGUUCGAUCCCUGCACCGCCCA